UACACUACGCUCUUCCGAUCUAAUAAUGUUCGAAAUAAUCUGUAACCGCGAGGUUUUGGUGAGAAUUAAUGCUACUAUCUGGGAAAAAAUACACAUCAUCGUACCACGCAAUCUAGACGAAUU
RNAcentral lists this long non-coding RNA (123 nucleotides) under Neodiprion pinetum (white pine sawfly). Its description in RNAcentral is "uncharacterized LOC124222659". The record is from RNAcentral. Lineage: Eukaryota; Metazoa; Arthropoda; Insecta; Hymenoptera; Diprionidae.